CCCUUAGUGACGAAGCUAACGCGUGAAGUUGACCGCCUGGGGAGUACGGUCGCAAGAUUAAAACUCAAAGGAAUUGACGGGGACCCGCACAAGCGGUGGAUGAUGUGGAUUAAUUCGAUGCAACGCGAAAAACCUUACCUACCCUUGACAUGUCCGGAAUCCUGCAGAGAUGCGGGAGUGCCCGAAAGGGAAUCGGAACACAGGUGCUGCAUGGCUGUCGUCAGCUCGUGUCGUGAGAUGUUGGGUUAAGUCCCGCAACGAGCGCAACCCUUAUCAUUAGUUGCUACGCAAGGGCACUCUAAUGAGACUGCCGGUGACAAACCGGAGGAAGGUGGGGAUGACGUCAAGUCCUCAUGGCCCUUAUGGGUAGGGCUUCACACGUCAUACAAUGGUCGGUACAGAGGGUUGCCAAGCCGCGAGGUGGAGCCAAUCCCAGAAAGCCGAUCGUAGUCCGGAUUGUUCUCUGCAACUCGAGAGCAUGAAGUCGGAAUCGCUAGUAAUCGCGGAUCAGCAUGUCGCGGUGAAUACGUUCCCGGGUCUUGUACACACCGCCCGUCACACCAUGGGAGUGGAAUCUGGCAGAAGUAGGUAGCCUAACCGCAAGGAGGGCGCUUACCACGCUGGGUUUCAUGACUGGGGUGAAGU
RNAcentral lists this ribosomal RNA (645 nucleotides) under uncultured Thiobacillus sp. RNAcentral's name for it is "bacterial SSU rRNA". It matches the Rfam family "Bacterial small subunit ribosomal RNA", at positions 837 to 1486 of the family's 1533-position model. The record is from RNAcentral. Lineage: Bacteria; Pseudomonadati; Pseudomonadota; Betaproteobacteria; Nitrosomonadales; Thiobacillaceae.